Molecule: ribosomal RNA, 493 nt
Filed under: uncultured bacterium
Lineage: Bacteria
Description: bacterial SSU rRNA
Rfam family: Bacterial small subunit ribosomal RNA
Source: RNAcentral
AACAAACGCUGGCGGCGUGUCUUAAGCAUGCAAGUUGAGCGGCAAGGAGGAGAGAUCCUCCCUAGAGCGGCGGACUGGUGAGUAGCGCGUGGGUAAUCUAUCGUAGGCAUGGGGAUAGUCACUAGAAAUAGUGGGUAAUACCGAAUACGUUCCAUGAGGGGAGUAUUCAUGGAAGAAAGGGUGCUACGGCACUGGCCUUAGGUGAGCUCGCGUCCCAUUAGCUAGUUGGUGAGGUAAAGGCCCACCAAGGCGAUGAUGGGUAGCCGGCCUGAGAGGGUGUACGGCCACACUGGGACUGAGAUACGGCCCAGACUCCUACGGGAGGCAGCAGCUAAGAAUAUUCCGCAAUGGACGAAAGUCUGACGGAGCGACGCCGCGUGGAUGAAGAAGGCCGAAAGGUUGUAAAGUUCUUUUGCUAGGGGAGAAUAAGUGAGGGAGGGAAUGCCCUCAUGAUGACAAGGACUAGCGAAUAAGCCCCGGCCAACUACGUGCC